UGGGGAAUCUUGCACAAUGGGCGAAAGCCUGAUGCAGCGACGCCGCGUGCGGGAUGAAGGCCUUCGGGUUGUAAACCGCUUUUGAUUGGGAGCAAGCCUUUUGGGUGAGUGUACCUUUCGAAUAAGCGCCGGCUAACUACGUGCCAGCAGCCGCGGUAAUACGUAGGGCGCAAGCGUUAUCCGGAAUUAUUGGGCGUAAAGAGCUUGUAGGCGGUUCGUCGCGUCUGGUGUGAAAGCCCAUCGCUUAACGGUGGGUUUGCGCCGGGUACGGGCGGGCUAGAGUGCAGUAGGGGAGACUGGAAUUCUCGGUGUAACGGUGGAAUGUGUAGAUAUCGGGAAGAACACCAAUGGCGAAGGCAGGUCUCUGGGCUGUUACUGACGCUGAGAAGCGAAAGCGUGGGGAGCGAACAGG
Molecule: ribosomal RNA, 412 nt
Filed under: Verrucomicrobiota bacterium
Lineage: Bacteria; Pseudomonadati; Verrucomicrobiota
Description: Verrucomicrobia bacterium partial 16S ribosomal RNA
Rfam family: Bacterial small subunit ribosomal RNA
Source: RNAcentral